This 3692-nucleotide unclassified non-coding RNA is filed under the name Leishmania donovani. Its description in RNAcentral is "gene:LdHU3.31.3560(CDS-product:hypothetical_prote in_conserved)". The record is from RNAcentral. Lineage: Eukaryota; Euglenozoa; Kinetoplastea; Trypanosomatida; Trypanosomatidae.
UCUGCUGCUCUAAAACGACAGUUACAUGCAUAUUGCCGCACAUCGAUAGCUCUCUACCAUUCAUCAGAGUCCCGAGCGAAGCGCGAAAGGAAGCAGCGCAAGCGGAGCGUCAAGCAUUGAUCGCUCCGUGUGAGGAGGUGCGGCGUGUCUCUAUUCUUUGAUGGUAUUUGUUUUUGUUUUUUUUUGUCUGCUGGUGGUCACCUUUCCUUGCUCGCUCGUUCGCCCGGUCUCUCUCUCUCUCUCUCUGACCUCCCCUACCCCCUCUCCCCUACCCCCUAAAAAAAAAAACGGCGACUGCGCGAGAGUCAAAGAAGCCCCACAAAAUAGAAAGCGUAGGUCUAUCAUCUUCUCGCCCGCUCUGCGUUUUGGGUGGGUUGGUGUUCUUCUCGCUAAGUGCCCACCUCUUCUGUUCUUGCCUCUUGCCGUUGUGCGCGUUUUCGACCCUUGUUGGGACUGUAGUACUCGGGACUCUAGUGAAGCGCCUCUUUUUAGUUCUGUUGUUCGUCGCGCGCUCUCUUGACCCCUGCCAUGCAUAAAAUCUUUUUGUAUUUUGUUUUUUCCUGUUCAGCGCACUCUUGUUGGCCGUCUGGGGUUUCCUUCGACGUGGAUUUGGUCACUCUCUGUUGAUUGGUCGUUGUCACCGUUGUGCCCCCCCCACUUUCCCCUCCCUUGCCCUCCAAAGUCUUCGCCGGUCCUUUCUCCACGUCUUUCCUUGGUUUGUUAGCUGUUUGUGUUUCCGUGGCGCCGUGUCUGCUGGAUUACGCGCCAUCCCUCCCCCCUCUGCCGCCCUCACCCUCCCUCUGAACUUCACUUGUUUCUCAUUCCUGUUGUGCUCCUCUUGCCGUUUGAGUAUUGUGUGCGGUUGAUUCUCUUUUUCCUCGUGUGUCGCCUUCUGGCUCCAUGCGCUAAGGUCAGGCGUUCGCGUGCAGCUUCCCUUUCGCUUGUCUGCUCCUCCCGUGUGUUUCUCCGUCUCUGCUCGUUUUUUUUUCUUCCCUUUAGGAAAUUUAGUGCGAUCGCGUCGCGGCAUCGUCGUUGCGUAUGUUUGGGCUAUCUUCUUUUUUUUGUUUGUUUUUCUGUUGCUGUUGCCGUCGUUGUUGCUCGACUCUCCGCGAUCAAAGCAGAGCUCACGUACGUCGAUCGGUUUCUCUGCUGUUGAUAUCCGAAAACCGCUGCCCCGGGGCGCGCUCGCGCUUGUCUUCUCGUUACUCCCCCCUCCCUUGUGUGUCUCGCGCUGUCCUUUCUCUCUUCCCCCUCCCCCUCCUCCAUCGAAAGUGAGCGCCCAACAGACGCGAGGACGUCGUUUUUUUUUUCGCAGCAACGCGCGCGUCUUGCCUGACCAGAGCGCGAAGCCCAUUUCGCUCGGUCAGCCAAGCUUGUUUGGUUGAAGGACGGCCAGUGGAUGCCUUUUCCUCUUGUAUCUUUUACUUUGUGUGUAGCUCUAGUCAUUAUCUGCUUGCUCCUCCCCCCACCUAGUUGGAUACUCGUCGGGUUGCACAGGUGACUGUGUCUGCACCGCUCACAGGCCUCGGAGUGCGGAGGGGGAGGCCUUUCGGCUGUACAUAAUCCUUCGUUUCCGCCUCGUCAGACUCCGGUCGCCCGCCUGUAGAGACGAUCAUGAGCUCGCUCAUACUCAUCAGCAGCAUCGCUGGUGCUAUUCUCGCUAUUUCGAGCAUAAUCUGGUGCGUCACUCAUGUUUACAGCGCCCUGCAUGCGCCAUCGCGCCGUUUGUAUGCGGAUGCGGAGAGCGUGACCCUUCAGGAGGAGAGCGCGUUUGGGGAGGCCCCUAGUGUGCAAGUGGGCGCGGGCAGAGGCGAUGACGGCGCCGCCUACAACAGCGGUCAGAGGCCAAGCCAGAAUAUUCGCGACAACUACGCCGAUCGCGACGCCAUCGACUAUCGCGGGGAGGGCAACAACUACUACUAUGGCCUCGAUGGCGGUGUGCGGCCGGCAUCUCCGAACGCGGAGCGCGUGGAGGGUAUCCCCAUUGAAACCCGUGUGCGUCCACGGCGCAAUCUGCCACGUAAUCGAAUCGUCGUGCAUCAUGGUGACCAGGACGUGUGUCUUGAUUUCCGCGGUGUCGAACGUGUGCCCCAGGCCGGCCCUCCGCCGCUCACGCUCGAAGAGAAGCAGCGCCUCGAGGAUGAACAGAAUCGCAUUGCUUCACCAGAGUUCUAUGGCCGCGCCGAGUACGAGGGCCGGCGAACCUCCGACAGGAAUACACCCAACGUGCGGCUCAGUUCUUCCUUACUACAGGAACUGCAGCUUCAGUACAGUAUGGCGUCAGCCUCCCGAGGUGCCCUCAACAACUACGCCACCGAAAGCAGCGUGGGGAGCAUGAGCUUCCGACCCGGCUCGCCAGCCGGGUCGGCGCGGCACGCACGGCACGGUUGGCAGAGCGCUACUCCGAACAGCGUCAGCUUGCAGAGCGGCAGCAUUGGCGGCCUCCAGUUUUUUCGCCGACGCAAGAAGUCGCCCACGCGCCAUGACGCAGGUGGCAGCACAAGCCCUAGCCAGGGCCUGCACCAAGUGAACUCCUUCUCCUCGGCUCCGCGCAACCGUCGGGAAGAUCUCGAGAGCACCUCCGACGACUUCGAGGACGUUUCGCUGCACAACGGCCCCGCUCAUCCUCGUCUGGAGCAGCUGCGCGAGUUCUUGCUCAAGCAGGAGCAACAGACGCUGAGCCGACUAUCCCCAACGACGAGGCUGGGAAACGUAAACGGCUUUGACCAGAUUAGCCUGCACGGUACCUCUCCCGUCUUCUUAGAUCGCCAAGUGAGCACCAGGGCAUCCGCAGCGAGCGUCAGUCCGGUCGGGAUCGGCCGAGGGUGGACCGCAGCUGGCACCAUGGCGUCCCCGUAUGACCAAAGUGUGGCGCCGUACCCGCUCCAUCAUCCAACCAUGGCCGCUGGCCUGCCGCCCUUGAAUGCCUCCUUUCAUAGCUACCAGUCGUGGCGCUCCACGUCUGUCAACUCUCCCGUCGUGGGACUGGCAGGGGCGACAUCCUACCCGCACCUGGACUCAUCAUCACCGCUUUCCGGCGCUCACCCUGGAGCGGAAGGGGCAGGUGCUAGCGCGCGCACCGGCGUCAAGCCGCUCCACCCCGUUUUGUCACCGAGGAAGGCAGCUGAAAACGCACACCAUCAGACGUCGCUUUCAGGUGCCGUGCAAGGAAGCGACAGCAACGCCGGAGCGCACGCUUUCCAUGUCGAUACGUUCUCUCCGUCGUCGAAUCGGUGGAGCAGCGGCCUGCGCUCUCCCUUCUCCCUGCCUGGAAGUGACCCAGUGACAGCAUCCUGCUCGGCAAGCUCUGGAGGGACGAGAGCACAGGCUUAGAAGUUGAUCUCGCCUCUUCCGUGCGGUGGGCGGACAGCGGCAGCGGAUGUGCCCGACGCACCGUUCGGCAGAGACGGCACAACAUAUUAGGGCACGUGGCCGGCUCUUCUUUUCUUUUGUUGUUUGCUUGUUUCUUCUUCGUCAUGUGCCGAACAUGAAAACACAACGAAAGCGGCAUACAUGAAAGGCUUUCUGUGGCCGUGCAGGUCUGUGUUUUGUACUCCAGUGCCGAUGCGCCCCUGCGAUGGGUCGACAAUGUUGUUCACCGUUCGCCCCCCCCCUCUCUGCCCCCCUUUGCGCGUGCGAGCCCGUUGGCAAGCUCCAACUCUGCGCCUCUUGUGGAUCUUUUCCUUUUUAAC